AUUGCAACAACAAAAUCCUAACUAUAAUAGAAUAUUUAGUUAGUAUUCUAUUAGUUUGAUUAGGGUUUGAUUUAGGAUUUAGUUAGUAUUCUAUUUAGAAUGGAAAUUGCAACAACUAAAUCCUAACUAUAAUACUAAUUAGACCAUAAUAAUGCUAAGCAAGCUUUAAUCAAAUUCAAAAAAACCUCAAAGAAAUUUCAAAGAAACAAUAAGAAAUCUUAAAGAAAUAUUAGAAUAAUCACAAAUAUAUCUCAAAUACAUCUCAAUUCAAUCUUAAUUUAAUCCUAGUUAAAAUCCUAUUGGACUUCAUUCAAACUUUAGGCCAAAUCUAAUUAAAUCUUAAAUCCUAAACAAAUCCUAAUAAAAUCCUAAAUCCUAAAUCAAAUCCUAAAUCCUAAAUCCUAAAUCCUAAAUCAAACCCUAACUAAAUCUUAAAUCUUAAAUCAAAUCCUAAAUCCUAAAUCAAACCCUAACUAAACCUUAAAUCCUAAAUCAAAUCUUAAAUCCUAAACCAAAUCCUAAACCUUAAAUCAAACCCUAAAUUCUAAACCAAAUCCUAACCAAACCCUAAAUCAAACCCUAACCAAACUCUAAAUGAAAUCCUAACCAAAUUCUAAAUCCUAAACCAAAUCCUAACUAAACUCUAAACCUUAAAUCAAAUCCUAAACCCUAAACCAAAUCCUAACCAAACUCUAGUAAUUCUCACAACAGAUUUAAACCUCAAUAACUAAUGAAUGAACCGUUGAUCUUAAUUCAAAUUUUGUAAAAUUCUUAAAAAAUAAGUUGAAAACAAGCACAAAAAAUUUGAAAAGCAUCGGAAUUACCAAAUAGACGAUAACCUCAAAAAUGUACUUAGGUAUUGAUCGGCCUCCUUCUCCAACCUUGAUGUCAAUCUCCCAAAGUCAAUAUCUCUCUUUUUCACCAUUCAAUUGAUCUCAAAAUUCUCAUACACAUAGAAAAACAAGUCUAAUAUCCUCUCACACAAAUUUCACUCCAAUCCAACUAGUAGAAUAUAAGAAAUCUUAAAAACCCUCACUAGAUCUAAAAUUCUACUUUCUAAGACCUUGACCCAUUUAAACCUCAAUAAUCCU
Molecule: long non-coding RNA, 1091 nt
Filed under: Physcomitrium patens
Lineage: Eukaryota; Viridiplantae; Streptophyta; Bryopsida; Funariales; Funariaceae
Description: long non-coding RNA (PPAT_LNC009814)
Source: RNAcentral